UGCAUAUCCCAAAAGCGGAGGAAAAGAAACUAACAAGGAUUCCCCUAGUAACUGCGAGUGAAGCGGGAAAAGCUCAAAUUUAAAAUCUGGUAGUCCUUGCGGCUGCCCGAGUUGUAAUCUAGAGAAGCAUUAUCCGCGCUGGACCGUGUACAAGUCUCCUGGAACGGAGCGUCAUAGAGGGUGAGAAUCCCGUCUUUGACACGGACUACCAGGGCUUUGUGAUGUGCUCUCAAAGAGUCGAGUUGUUUGGGAAUGCAGCUCUAAAUGGGUGGUAAAUUCCAUCUAAAGCUAAAUAUUGGCGAGAGACCGAUAGCGAACAAGUACCGUGAGGGAAAGAUGAAAAGAACUUUGGAAAGAGAGUUAAACAGUACGUGAAAUUGUUGAAAGGGAAACGCUUGAAGUCAGUCGCGUUGGCCGGGGAUCAACCUUGCUUUUGCUUGGCGUACUUUCCGGUCGACGGGUCAGCAUCAAUUUUGACCGGUGGAUAAAGGUCAGGGGAAUGUGGCAUCUUCGGAUGUGUUAUAGCCCUUGGUCGCAUACAUCGGUUGGGAUUGAGGAACUCAGCACGCCGCAAGGCCGGGUUUUUAACCACGUACGUGCUUAGGAUGCUGGCAUAAUGGCUUUAAUCGACCCGUCUUGAAACACGGCAAAAGGGGAGUCA
Molecule: ribosomal RNA, 661 nt
Filed under: Hypsizygus marmoreus
Lineage: Eukaryota; Fungi; Basidiomycota; Agaricomycetes; Agaricales; Lyophyllaceae
Also listed under: 1 other name
Description: LSU rRNA
Rfam family: Eukaryotic large subunit ribosomal RNA
Source: RNAcentral